RNAcentral lists this ribosomal RNA (459 nucleotides) under uncultured bacterium. RNAcentral's name for it is "partial 16S ribosomal RNA". It matches the Rfam family "Bacterial small subunit ribosomal RNA", at positions 338 to 795 of the family's 1533-position model. The record is from RNAcentral.
CCUACGGGGGGCAGCAGUGAGGAAUAUUGGUCAAUGGGCGCGAGCCUGAACCAGCCAAGUCGCGUGAGGGAAGACGGUCCUAUGGAUUGUAAACCUCUUUUGUCGGGGAGCAAAAGACGCCACGCGUGGCGUUCCGAGAGUACCCGAAGAAAAAGCAUCGGCUAACUCCGUGCCAGCAGCCGCGGUAAUACGGAGGAUGCGAGCGGUAUCCGGAUUUAUUGGGUUUAAGGGGUGCGCAGGCGGAAUUUCAAGUCAGCGGUAAAAUUGAGAGGCUCAACCUCUUCGAGCCGUUGAAACUGGUUGUCUUGAGUGAGCGAGAAGUAUGCGGAAUGCGUGGUGUAGCGGUGAAAUGCAUAGAUAUCACGCAGAACUCCGAUUGCGAAGGCAGCAUACCGGCGCUCAACUGACGCUCAUGCACGAAAGUGUGGGUAUCGAACAGGAUUAGAUACCCCAGUAGUC